Molecule: long non-coding RNA, 1761 nt
Organism: Peromyscus californicus insignis
Lineage: Eukaryota; Metazoa; Chordata; Mammalia; Rodentia; Cricetidae
Exons: 2
Source: RefSeq, a predicted model, not a curated record
GCCUGGCCGCGCGCGCUCCGGGGGCGCGCCGGGUGCCCGCCGGCGGCCGUGAGUCCUGCCGGCGGCGCUCGGGUCCUCCAGCCCGCGCAAGCUUCUAACCCGAACGGCUUGGGUCCGCACGGCCCGGCGGACGGGUCCGCCCUGGGCAGGCUGAGGUGUGGCGGGCAGCCGGGCGGCGCGGCGUCCUGACGGGCGGGGCGGGCCCGGAGCUGCCUGCCGAGCCGGGUGGACAGGUGGGCGUGGGCAGCGCGGCCGGCGGAACUGGCUGGCCAUCCCGCCGCGGCCCUGACCCCUGGGGUGCACUGGCUGCUUGGGGUCAAAUCCAAGCUGACCUUUCUCCGGAGGAAAGAUAAAUUAUUAUGGUUGUGGGUGAGCGUCAGUGCAAAUGUUUUCAGAGUCCUCCUCCUCCUCCGGCUCCGGGUGCUGUUUGAAUCCCCCGCAUUCCUCAGCCCUGGGCAGGGAGCGGCAGCGGCCUUUGUGUCUCCCGGGAGCGCAUGCCACCUCGGGAGGAGACAGCGGACCAGAGUUAAAGAGCAGGGAGAGACAUUAGCUGUGAAGAUAUGUUUUCUCUCUACCAGUUGGAUUUCGUCUUUCGUAGGAGAGAAGAGCAUCUGUCCUCCAGGCUUUGUCUGCUCUGCGGCUGCACUAGCACAGCAAAGCCACAUAAGGAGGCUUUUCAGCAGAGGAGCUUGGUGUUGAACUCAUGCCAUGGGGAAUGAAUUCUUCAAUAGACCCUUCGUCCUCUUCUGGAAGUUAAAGAGAGGCGAUUUGCAGAAAAGCAUAUGUGUGUGCAUGCAUCUCCCUGUCCUGGUAUUCUGUUCCUUUGUGCCUUUCAGUUCCCAUGCUUCUGUGUGGACUCGUUUUCAUUGUGAUGAGAUAGAUCCCCAGUGGCAGUGCAGCUCAGGACCCUCGCUAGCCUGCACACAACGUAGUUCCCACUGAUCCCAGCAGUGGGAACUGAUUUUGACAGUGGAGAGCUUUAUUCCUGCUGAACAAUGACUGGCUCUUCCAGAAUUAGUUUGGGAAGCUACCAGUGAGGUAGCUGUAUUGCUAAAGGGAAAUUCAGUGUUGCUAGAAAUCAGGUAUGGACUCUGUAGAGUUGCUCUUUAUGGGGGGAAAUGUGUGUGUAGAGAAGCCACCUACAAGGCAGGGUUUACAGACGGCUCUAAGUCACUCAGUUACCUUUGGUUUCCAGUUUACUUUACAGCUCCAUCUGUAUCAUCUUGAGCAGUGAAUCAGUUCCCAAACUAAGUCAUAGUAAGUCAUUAGUUUAUUGAUAAGGGCUUAAAAGUAAUUUGAAAUAUACGCAAUACCUGCGAUCCUCACAGUCACAAAUGCUCUAAGAAUUAGGUUGAACCAUUCCUCCACCAACUGUCAUUGUUUGAGACACAAAGGUAAGUGCGGAGUGGUCGCCCAGGCCUGUGUUCCAAGAAUGCAGAGGUAGGAGCAGGAAGAUCUGGAAUUCAAGGUCAAUCUUGGUAGUAAAAUACAAGUUCAAGAAAAAGAGAAAGCCACCAAAAUAAUGUUCUGAGUCAUGUGUUGUGAUACCCCAUAGAAGAAUAGAAAGAUGCUGGGCGGUGGUGGUGCACGCCUUUAAUCCCAGCACUCGGGAGGCAGAGAUAGGUGGAUCUCUGUGAGUUCGAGGCCAGCCUGGUCUACAGAGCUAGUCCAGGACAGACUCCAAAGCUACAGAGAAACCCUGUCUCGAAAAACCACAAAAAAAAAAAAAAGAAAAGAAUAGAAAGACAUAGGCAGUCAGGA